AUCAGACAUCGGUGCUAUCGUAACCCUCAACAUGGGUUGCAGCCUCUACAGCGGUUCACCAAUAUCGGCAGUUGUUGGGGGGCCUGCCGGGUUUGUAUUUCUUGCUCUGACACCCUAUGACUGUAGGUAAGUGUUGGUAAUAGUUUAAAGUCGAACAAAGAAAGUUUUUCAGCAUUUUUUAGCAAGUUUGAGCUGAUUUCGCUCAGAGCUCUGUAGAGAUGCGUCUGAGCAGGAUGGCUG
Pelobates cultripes (western spadefoot toad) is the source of this 240-nucleotide non-coding RNA. Lineage: Eukaryota; Metazoa; Chordata; Amphibia; Anura; Pelobatidae. The record is from the annotation of a GenBank genome assembly.